ACUAUGGAUGGGGAGAAAUCAAAAUCAGUGGUGCUUGCAAGAAGAUUAGAGGAGGCUAUGCUAGAGCAAUUGAUUUUAAUUCCUUAUAAUAUUGGGUACCAUUGGAUAUUGUUAGUCAUUGAUCUAACAUUGAUGAUUGUGUACUUGCUUGAUCUGAUUAAUUCUAAAAUAAACACAAGCCUUGAAAUUGUAAUAAACACUGUUUUGAAAAUUUAUGAAACUACCCAAAGGAGGAG
Molecule: non-coding RNA, 236 nt
Organism: Camellia sinensis
Lineage: Eukaryota; Viridiplantae; Streptophyta; Magnoliopsida; Ericales; Theaceae
Source: RefSeq, a predicted model, not a curated record